RNAcentral lists this ribosomal RNA (978 nucleotides) under Gnomoniopsis smithogilvyi. RNAcentral describes it as "eukaryotic LSU rRNA". It matches the Rfam family "Eukaryotic large subunit ribosomal RNA", at positions 85 to 1094 of the family's 3401-position model. The record is from RNAcentral. Lineage: Eukaryota; Fungi; Ascomycota; Sordariomycetes; Diaporthales; Gnomoniaceae.
AACGGCGAGUGAAGCGGCAACAGCUCAAAUUUGAAAUCUGGCUUCGGCCCGAGUUGUAAUUUGCAGAGGAUGUUUAUGGUGCGGUACCUUCCGAGUUCCCUGGAACGGGACGCCACAGAGGGUGAGAGCCCCGUCUGGUUGGAUACCAAACCUGUGUUAAACUCCUUCAACGAGUCGAGUAGUUUGGGAAUGCUGCUCUAAAUGGGAGGUAAAUCUCUUCUAAAGCUAAAUACCGGCCAGAGACCGAUAGCGCACAAGUAGAGUGAUCGAAAGAUGAAAAGCACCUUGAAAAGGGGGUUAAACAGUACGUGAAAUUGUUAAAAGGGAAGCGUUUAUGACCAGACUUGUGUCGUGUGGCUCAUCCGAGGUUCUCCCCGGUGCACUCCACACGGCUCAGGCCAACAUCGGUUCUCGUUGGGGGAUAAGAACAGUAGGAACGUGGCCCUCUUCGGAGGGUGUUAUAGCCUGCUGUACGAUACCCUGAUGGGGACCGAGGACCGCGCUUCGGCUAGGAUGUUGGCGUAAUGGUCAUUAGCGACCCGUCUUGAAACACGGACCAAGGAGUCGUCCAUUAGAGCGAGCGUUUGGGUGUAAAACCCGCACGCGUAAUGAAAGUGAAAUUAGGUGAGAGCUUCGGCGCAUCAUCGACCGAUCCUGAAGUUUACGGAUGGAUUUGAGUAAGAGUUUUAACGGACGGACCCGAAAGACAGUGAACUAUGCUUGAAUAGGGUGAAGCCAGAGGAAACUCUGGUGGAGGCUCGCAGCGGUUCUGACGUGCAAAUCGAUCGUCAAAUUUGAGCAUGGGGGCGAAAGACUAAUCGAACUGUCUAGUAGCUGGUUACCGCCGAAGUUUCCCUCAGGAUAGCAGUGUUGACCUUCAGUUUUAUGAGGUAAAGCGAAUGAUUAGGGACUCGGGGGCGCUUAUUAGCCUUCAUCCAUUCUCAAACUUUAAAUAUGUAAGAAGCCCUUGUUACUUAA